RNAcentral lists this ribosomal RNA (485 nucleotides) under uncultured bacterium. Its description in RNAcentral is "bacterial SSU rRNA". It matches the Rfam family "Bacterial small subunit ribosomal RNA", at positions 8 to 481 of the family's 1533-position model. The record is from RNAcentral.
AGAGUUUGAUCCUGGCUCAGAGUGAACGCUGGCGGCAGGCCUAACACAUGCAAGUCGAACGGCAGCACAGCAGUAGCAAUACUGUGGGUGGCGAGUGGCGGACGGGUGAGGAAUGCGUCGGAAUCUGCCUAUUUGUGGGGGAUAACGUAGGGAAACUUACGCUAAUACCGCAUACGACCUACGGGUGAAAGUGGGGGACCUUCGGGCCUCACGCAGAUAGAUGAGCCGACGCCGGAUUAGCUAGUUGGCGGGGUAAAGGCCCACCAAGGCGACGAUCCGUAGCUGGUCUGAGAGGAUGAUCAGCCACACUGGGACUGAGACACGGCCCAGACUCCUACGGGAGGCAGCAGUGGGGAAUAUUGGACAAUGGGCGCAAGCCUGAUCCAGCCAUGCCGCGUGUGUGAAGAAGGCCUUCGGGUUGUAAAGCACUUUUGUCCGGAAAGAAAUGCUUUGGGAUUAAUAACCGGGAGGGAUGACGGUACCGG